This 253-nucleotide ribosomal RNA is filed under the name uncultured bacterium. RNAcentral's name for it is "partial 16S ribosomal RNA". It matches the Rfam family "Bacterial small subunit ribosomal RNA", at positions 524 to 776 of the family's 1533-position model. The record is from RNAcentral.
UACGAAGGGGGCGAGCGUUAUCCGGAAUUACUGGGCGUAAAGCGUGUGCAGGCGGGGUGGUAAGUGGGGUAUGAAAUCUCCUGGCUCAACCAGGAGGGGUUAUGCCAGACUGCCAUUCUUGAGUGCGAGAGAGGAGCGUGGAAUUCCGGGUGUAGUGGUGAAAUGCGUAGAGAUCCGGAGGAACCCCAGAGGCGAAGGCGGCGCUCUGGCUCGCAACUGACGCUCAGACACGACAGCAUGGGGAGCGAACGGG